Molecule: small nucleolar RNA, 79 nt
Organism: Erinaceus europaeus (western European hedgehog)
Lineage: Eukaryota; Metazoa; Chordata; Mammalia; Eulipotyphla; Erinaceidae
Source: Ensembl
CAAUUGCAUGCAAGAAUAACCUGGAGAGACUGUAACAGCACAGGUCAACAUAAUACCUGUAGCUGCCACUCAACUUUCC